UGCCACCCACACACCUUGCUGUGCAACCCUGAGUCGUGGUUUACAUGUCUGUCUCUCACACUAGAGGCUAGGUGCUACCUGGUGACUAGACCCUUUUCUCAGUCAUCUUUCUGUCCCCAGUGCCUAAGCACAGUGCCUGGCACAUGGCAGGCAUGUGGGAAAUAUUUAAUCAAAUUAGUUAAUAAGCUAAUGAACAUAGGAGUGAUCAAGGGGGUAGAGUCAAGGAUUCUAGGUAGAAAGUGAUGCUUUUAACAUGCUCAAGGAUAUAAGAGGAAGGGCAAGUCUGGGGGAGAAGACAAUGAAUUGGAAUUUAUAGUCUGCUUUGAACUUGAAGUGCUUGCAAGUAUCGCUGACCACCCACUCUCUCCCCCUAGGCAGGUGUCUGCAAGGAGCCAGGGAGAGGGCUUCUUUGACUGCCAGAAGCCGUCUCAGUUGCAGUGCCAAGUCAACUCAUAAACACCACUAAAGGAGAAAGCUCCCCUGUCCGUUAGUCCAAGGACCAGCUCAAGUGGUGAUACAGAUUAGUAAAGAUGACAAGCAAGGAGAAUCUGUAAUCCUGAUUUAUUUGUGCAGACCAGCAAUGCAACCAAGUCAGUGGAAGAAACAACAGGCCUUGCCUCAAGAUGAGCCCAGUUGCAGAGCUCCACAGUGGCUCCAGAGGGAGCCAAAACCCUGAGAGACAUUCUGCCUUCCUGUCCGGAAGAAUGAAGAGAAGGGGCCCUUGUGGUCUGAAAAGCAUAGAGAGAGACAUAGCGAGAGAGCGAACACAAGCAGGGGGAGAGGGAGAGGGAGAAGCAGGCUCCCGCUGAGCAGGAAGCCCGAUGUGGGGCUCGAUCCCAGGACCCUGGGAUCAUGACCUGAGCCAAAGGCAGAUGCUUAACAACCUAGCCACCCAGGUGCCCCUAAACCAGGUAGGUUUGAGCUGUGAGCACACUGCUUUGAUCUGACAGAGAUUUUCUAAAUCGGGCUCAAUUAAGACACCAAGAGAAGAGAGGAGAAGGAAUGUGAC
Molecule: long non-coding RNA, 1009 nt
Organism: Mirounga angustirostris (Northern elephant seal)
Lineage: Eukaryota; Metazoa; Chordata; Mammalia; Carnivora; Phocidae
Exons: 3
Source: RefSeq, a predicted model, not a curated record